GUAAAAUAGAAGCAGUUAUGGAUGAAAGGAAAGGGGGAAAAAAAAAUCUGACCUGAAGGGAAAGUUUUCUUGGAAGUAGUUCUUUAUUUUGAAUUGCAUAUUUUGUAUGUGAGUACUUUUUGAUUUUACUUCAUUCUCAGGGAUUCCAUUUUCUGUGGUUGGAAAAAGAAAGCAACUAUUUAAGGAAAAGAAGUGACUAGCUGUGAACGUACAAUUACACUAAGUAAGCAGUCUUAGGUUGUGACCAAGGUGCAGGAAUUACUCCACUGCCUCUCAAACAAAGCAUUCCACUUCUCUGGAAGAAAGUCCUUUUUCUCCAACACUUGUAUCUGAAAGAAUGCGUUGAUGUCCUUCUGUAGCCUGAAAAUUGCUGUUUUGAAAGCCCUAGCAAUUUACUAUAACAAAUGUGUACCUCCAUCACAGUAACUUGUAUUUCUUGCUCUCUAUUGUUCUGUUUUUUCCAUUGGAAUAACACACUAUGCUUUUUUUUUUUUUUUUUUUUUUUUUUUUUUUUUUAAGUUUAACCUUCUCGUCCUAGUCCCCAGGUCUAGGCUGGCUUUGUUACAAAGCAAAGGCUUUGCUGGAUGCUAUUCAGUGUCAGGAUUUCUAUGACAAGAUUGGAAUCAAAAGUAAAAUAACACCAGCCAGUGGUAAAGAAAGAAGCGAAGGCAUCAACUGCGAGGCAAGAGUGGUGCAGAAGAGGUGCAGAGGAGCAAAGAGAAAGGCACACUGGGCAAAUGGCUGUCCCGGUCGUCAGGUCUGCGGACAUGUAAGAAAAGCAUGGCCGGCACCUUUGGUGUCCUCGCCAGCUUUGCAAAUUGGAGAGAAGGAGCUUCCGUUUGCCUUUGGGACCAGGGCUGCCCCAUAACUCGGGGCCCAGCCAGUGCCCUAGUGUCCACUUUGUGGUCCAGGCAGGGGCUUGAGCCCCCUAUAAGCAGGGGUGCAGCCUGUCUGGCUGCUGCUUUGCCUGCCCAGCUCUGUUUGCCCAGGGUGCCCGCCUCUGAGCCCAGCUCCAGCACCAGCUGGACCUCUUGUACGUGUCCUUCAGUGGCAGCCGGUGGCGAAGAAAGAAGAGGCAUCAUGUGGAACUGUGAGGCAAGAGUGAUGAAGUAAAGGUCUGAAAUGAAAGGUGCUUCUACUCCUUUUUCAAUAUUGCGGUAGUUUGAAAUGAAGUAGUCUGAUUAAAUAAAUCCUGUAAAUAUGUAGUAAGUUUAUAAGAC
RNAcentral lists this long non-coding RNA (1220 nucleotides) under Anas platyrhynchos platyrhynchos (common mallard). Its description in RNAcentral is "lncRNA (ENSAPLG00000018015.1)". Lineage: Eukaryota; Metazoa; Chordata; Aves; Anseriformes; Anatidae. The record is from RNAcentral.